RNAcentral lists this ribosomal RNA (432 nucleotides) under uncultured bacterium. RNAcentral describes it as "partial 16S ribosomal RNA". It matches the Rfam family "Bacterial small subunit ribosomal RNA", at positions 29 to 506 of the family's 1533-position model. The record is from RNAcentral.
AACGAACGCUGGCGGCAUGCCUAACACAUGCAAGUCGAACGAGACCUUCGGGUCUAGUGGCGCACGGGUGCGUAACGCGUGGGAACCUGCCCUUAGGUUCGGAAUAACUCCCCGAAAGGGGUGCUAAUACCGGAUAAUGUCUUCGGACCAAAGAUUUAUCGCCUUUGGAUGGGCCCGCGUUGGAUUAGCUAGUUGGUAGGGUAAAAGCCUACCAAGGCGACGAUCCAUAGCUGGUCUGAGAGGAUGAUCAGCCACACGGGGACUGAGACACGGCCCAGACCCCUGCGGGAGGGAGGAGGGGGGACUUUUGGAAACGGGGCGAAAGCCUAACCCCGAAUUGCCGGGGGGGUGAUGAAGGCCUUAGGGUGGUAAAGCUUUUUUCCCCGGGAUGAUAAUGACCGUACCGGGAAAAUAAGCCCCGGCUAACUCCGU